Molecule: ribosomal RNA, 440 nt
Filed under: uncultured bacterium
Lineage: Bacteria
Description: partial 16S ribosomal RNA
Rfam family: Bacterial small subunit ribosomal RNA
Source: RNAcentral
CCUACGGGAGGCAGCCGUGGGGAAUAUUGGACAAUGGGGGAAACCCUGAUCCAGCGACGCCGCGUGAGUGAAGACGUAUUUCGGUACGUAAAGCUCUAUCAGCAGGAAAGAAAAUGACGGUACCUGACUAAGAAGCCCCGGCUAACUACGUGCCAGCAGCCGCGGUAAUCCGGUGGGGGCAAGCGUUAUCCGGAUUUACUGGGUGUAAAGGGUGCGUAGGUGGUUUAGUAAGGUGGCGGUGUAAUUCCGGGGCUCAACCUCGGCGCUACCGUGAAAACUAUUAGACUAGAGUGCAGGAGGGGUAAGUGGAAUUCCUAGUGUAGCGGUGGAAUGCGUAGAUAUUAGGAGGAACAGCAGGGGCGAAGGCGACUUACUGGACUGUAACUGACACUGAGGCACGAAAGCGUGGGGAGCAAACAGGAUUAGAUACCCGAGUAGUC